This 925-nucleotide long non-coding RNA is filed under the name Sparus aurata (gilthead seabream). RNAcentral's name for it is "lncRNA (ENSSAUG00010001058.1)". Lineage: Eukaryota; Metazoa; Chordata; Actinopteri; Spariformes; Sparidae. The record is from RNAcentral.
CUCUCACAAUCCCAAAGAAUAUUAUGUUGACUUACCAUCCCUGACAUUUAUGACACAAUAGUUGUCUCAUAAUUAGCAUUUCUUUGUACCAUAAUUAUAACAUUUGCCCAAUGAACAAGAGGCCUAAAUAGAUGAGAAUGUGUUAGAUGAAAGUUCAUACCAUUUUUCAGGUUACAGGACAUUAUGGUUACGAAAGAGUUGUUGUCUCUAGGGCUAGCUAGUUAGCAUGCUAACAUUAAUUGUAAGUUGGUUCUAAUUUAUAGUUUUUUCUUCUAAAUGUUUUAAUAGGUGGAUCAAACCCAAAUGAUCCCACAUAUUACACCAUCCCCGACCUUCAACCAAUGAAAAAGGCGACCGAAACUUCUGGACCUGACGAGUCCCCGUACUCUGAGAUCUGCGAGCCUUUCAUCGGUGGAAAUAAUAAUGAAGGUAACUUUAAGCUUCAGCUCCUCUGUGAAGUUUAUAACAUGAGAUGCUAAACGAGGCCGAUUGUAUUUUUUGCCAUUCCAAAUAAAGCAAAAUAAACGAGAGAACGAACAAAGUGGAAAUCUACAAAAACUACCGAUGGGAAUUUUCCAUUCAAACGACCAUUUGAGUGUAAAAUUUGAGAUAACAGGAAUAAAAGUCUACAUCAUCAAAUAAUGAAUGAAAAGUAAUUUUUUGUGAUUGUCUCUGGAUCCACAGGUUCUUCACAGCCGACUGACAACACGUACUGUUUACUGCAGAACCCCAAAACAUCUGGAAAGCAUCCAAAGUGACCAAUCAGCUGUUUGUGAUGUCAGACAUGACUUGGGUUGAUGAUGUCAGUUGUUUUAUUUAAACUGUGAACAUGUAUAAUAUUUGACUUGUGUUUUAUGUAAAUAUUAGAUAGAUACAUUUUUUUACAAUACAACAUUUGUUAUUUUUAGAUUCUUACCUGUCAAAC